AUUGAACGCUGGCGGCAUGCUUUACACAUGCAAGUCGAACGGUAACAGGCCUUCGGGUGCUGACGAGUGGCGAACGGGUGAGUAAUGCAUCGGAACGUGCCCAGAGGUGGGGGAUAACGCAGCGAAAGCUGUGCUAAUACCGCAUGUGAUCUGAGGAUGAAAGCGGGGGACCAGGCAGCAAUGUUUGGCCUCGCGCCUUUGGAGCGGCCGAUGUCAGAUUAGGUAGUUGGUGGGGUAAAGGCCUACCAAGCCGACGAUCUGUAGCUGGUCUGAGAGGACGACCAGCCACACUGGGACUGAGACACGGCCCAGACUCCUACGGGAGGCAGCAGUGGGGAAUUUUGGACAAUGGGCGCAAGCCUGAUCCAGCAAUGGCGCGUGCGGGAAGAAGGCCUUCGGGUUGUAAACCGCUUUUGUACGGAACGAAAAGGCUCUGGCUAAUACCUGGGGCUGAUGACGGUACCGUAAGAAUAAGCACCGGCUAACUACGUG
This 492-nucleotide ribosomal RNA is filed under the name uncultured bacterium. Its description in RNAcentral is "partial 16S ribosomal RNA". It matches the Rfam family "Bacterial small subunit ribosomal RNA", at positions 30 to 507 of the family's 1533-position model. The record is from RNAcentral.